This 290-nucleotide ribosomal RNA is filed under the name uncultured Pseudomonas sp. RNAcentral's name for it is "partial 16S ribosomal RNA". It matches the Rfam family "Bacterial small subunit ribosomal RNA", at positions 1094 to 1382 of the family's 1533-position model. Lineage: Bacteria; Pseudomonadati; Pseudomonadota; Gammaproteobacteria; Pseudomonadales; Pseudomonadaceae. The record is from RNAcentral.
AAGCGCAACCCUUGUCCUUAGUUACCAGCACGUUAUGGUGGGCACUCUAAGGAGACUGCCGGUGACGAACCGGAGGAAGGUGGGGAUGACGUCAAGUCAUCAUGGGCCCUUACGGCCUGGGCUACACACGUGCUACAAUGGUCGGUACAAAGGGUUGCCAAGCCGCGAGGUGGAGCUAAUCCCAUAAAACCGAUCGUAGUCCGGAUCGCAGUCUGCAACUCGACUGCGUGAAGUCGGAAUCGCUAGUAAUCGUGAAUCAGAAUGUCACGGUGAAUACGUUCCCGGGCCUU